UCACUUUCUGCCUUGUGCAUUCAUUCGCUUGGAUGUGUGUGUGGGUGGGAUGGGAUGGGCUUUCACCAGUGAUUGCCUUGAAUGCAUUGCAUGAUUGUGUCGUGAUGGGAUGCGUGGCAUUGUUGAUCGACAUGGUUGUGUGCUCGCUUUUAG
RNAcentral lists this unclassified non-coding RNA (153 nucleotides) under uncultured Basidiomycota. Its description in RNAcentral is "sequence contains ITS2". Lineage: Eukaryota; Fungi; Basidiomycota. The record is from RNAcentral.